Molecule: ribosomal RNA, 350 nt
Filed under: uncultured bacterium
Lineage: Bacteria
Description: bacterial SSU rRNA
Rfam family: Bacterial small subunit ribosomal RNA
Source: RNAcentral
GAGCGACCCGCAAGGGUAGCGGCGGACGGGUGAGUAACGCGUGGGAACGUACCUUUUGCUACGGAAUAGCCCCGGGAAACUGGGAGUAAUACCGUAUACGCCCUGAGGGGGAAAGAUUUAUCGGCAAAAGAUCGGCCCGCGUUGGAUUAGGUAGUUGGUGGGGUAAUGGCCUACCAAGCCGACGAUCCAUAGCUGGUUUGAGAGGAUGAUCAGCCACACUGGGACUGAGACACGGCCCAGACUCCUACGGGAGGCAGCAGUGGGGAAUCUUAGACAAUGGGGGCAACCCUGAUCUAGCCAUGCCGCGUGAGUGAUGAAGGCCCUAGGGUUGUAAAGCUCUUUCAGUGGGG